CGUCUACUCCCUCCGUCCAACAAAAGAUGUCUCAAGUUUGUCAAAAUUUAGAUGUAUCUAGACAUGCAUUCAAAUUUGGUCAAAGUUGAGACAUCUUUUGUUGGACGGAGGGAAUAUUAU
Non-coding RNA from Brachypodium distachyon (stiff brome), 120 nucleotides. NCBI's taxonomy places the organism in Eukaryota, Viridiplantae, Streptophyta, Magnoliopsida, Poales, Poaceae. The record is from Rfam.